CUGCGCCGACGGCGGCAUCAGCACCGUCUACCCCGAGACAACUUGCGGGGUUACCACCAGCGAUGUCGGCUGGGCGCGCGUCAUCACCGCGUCAGCCGGAGGGAUCGAGAGCGCCUAGCGGCCGAGUCUUUGCAGCUCAGGUGGAGGAGCAACAACCUGCAGCACCCGACGACGUCGUGGCAGAUAUAAUUGUGAUUAAAGGCACUAGAG
RNAcentral lists this long non-coding RNA (210 nucleotides) under Ananas comosus (pineapple). Its description in RNAcentral is "long non-coding RNA (ACOM_LNC036188)". The record is from RNAcentral. Lineage: Eukaryota; Viridiplantae; Streptophyta; Magnoliopsida; Poales; Bromeliaceae.